GGCGUUGUAUUAGCUAGUUGGUGAGGUAACGGCUCACCAAGGCGACGAUACAUAGGGGGACUGAGAGGUCAGCCCCCCCACAUUGGUACUGAGACACGGACCAGACUCCUACGGAAGGCAGCAG
This 124-nucleotide ribosomal RNA is filed under the name uncultured bacterium. Its description in RNAcentral is "partial 16S ribosomal RNA". It matches the Rfam family "Bacterial small subunit ribosomal RNA", at positions 232 to 354 of the family's 1533-position model. The record is from RNAcentral.